Long non-coding RNA from Drosophila nasuta, 282 nucleotides. RefSeq lists it as uncharacterized. The record is from RefSeq and is a predicted model, not a curated record. The transcript is spliced from 3 exons. NCBI's taxonomy places the organism in Eukaryota, Metazoa, Arthropoda, Insecta, Diptera, Drosophilidae.
UAACAAUUUCUUGAACGCGUUUAAAGCCAGGCAAAUGCAAGUGCAUGUCAAUUGAGUUAAUUUUCAGAAAAUUGUGGUUUUGUUGGUGACAUAAAACAAAAGCCAAACAGACAAACAAAAUAUACAUAUUACGUCUUUGUAAGGCUAACUUACCUCAAGGUGCAUCAUCCACUUUGAUAUUGCGUGCAAAAAGAAAGAAAUAAAUAUGAAGCACUUCUACUCUGGUCCCAUUCAGAACAAAGGAUGCUCUUUUAUUUAUGUAAUCCCCUAAGAAGAAUUCCC